UCGCUGGAAGUCCAGUGGUUAGGACUCAGCGCUUUCACAGCCGAGAACACAGGUUCAAACCCUGGUCAGGGAA
Molecule: non-coding RNA, 73 nt
Organism: Bos taurus (domestic cattle)
Lineage: Eukaryota; Metazoa; Chordata; Mammalia; Artiodactyla; Bovidae
Source: Rfam